UACGUAGGGACCAAGCGUUGUCCGGAAUCAUUGGGCGUAAAGAGCGUGUAGGCGGCUUGUUAAGUCUUGCGUGAAAUCUCGGGGCUCAACCCCGAGCGGUCGUGAGAAACUGGCAGGCUAGAGUGCGGGAGAGGAGAGUGGAAUUCCUGGUGUAGCGGUGAAAUGCGCAGAUAUCAGGAGGAACACCGAUGGCGAAGGCAGGUCUCUGGGCCAUAACUGACGCUGAGAAGCGAAAGCAUGGGGAGCGAACAGG
Molecule: ribosomal RNA, 253 nt
Filed under: uncultured bacterium
Lineage: Bacteria
Description: partial 16S ribosomal RNA
Rfam family: Bacterial small subunit ribosomal RNA
Source: RNAcentral